GUCUACAGAUUCAUCAGAGCAAGAGGAUGCUGUCCGGGAUGGGUCCCUCCACAAGCUCCAGUCAGAGAUGACUCCAUUCAGCCACUCUGGCAGAAGAACAAUUCCUAAGGUCCCCUUUCCAAGUCUUUUCUCUUCCCCAAAG
This 142-nucleotide long non-coding RNA is filed under the name Mus pahari (shrew mouse). Its description in RNAcentral is "predicted gene, 44174 (MGP_PahariEiJ_G0005038.1)". Lineage: Eukaryota; Metazoa; Chordata; Mammalia; Rodentia; Muridae. The record is from RNAcentral.